RNAcentral lists this ribosomal RNA (221 nucleotides) under uncultured bacterium. RNAcentral's name for it is "partial 16S ribosomal RNA". It matches the Rfam family "Bacterial small subunit ribosomal RNA", at positions 118 to 340 of the family's 1533-position model. The record is from RNAcentral.
UGAGCAAUCUGCCCUUCACAUCGGAAUAACCAUUGGAAACGAUGGCUAAUACCGAAUAUGACUUCGGAUCGCAUGAUCUGAAGUGGAAAGCUCCGGCGGUGAAGGAUGAGCUCGCGGCCUAUCAGCUUGUUGGUGAGGUAAUAGCUCACCAAGGCGACGACGGGUAGCCGGCCUGAGAGGGCGACCGGCCACACUGGGACUGAGACACGGCCCAGACUCCG